RNAcentral lists this ribosomal RNA (253 nucleotides) under uncultured bacterium. RNAcentral describes it as "partial 16S ribosomal RNA". It matches the Rfam family "Bacterial small subunit ribosomal RNA", at positions 524 to 776 of the family's 1533-position model. The record is from RNAcentral.
UACGUAGGGUGCAAGCGUUGUCCGGAAUUACUGGGCGUAAAGGGCUCGUAGGCGGCCAACUAAGUCAGACGUGAAAUCCCUCGGCUUAACCGGGGAACUGCGUCUGAUACUGGUUGGCUUGAAUCCGGGAGAGGGAUGUGGAAUUCCAGGUGUAGCGGUGAAAUGCGUAGAUAUCUGGAGGAACACCGGUGGCGAAGGCGGCAUCCUGGACCGGUAUUGACGCUGAGGAGCGAAAGCCAGGGGAGCAAACGGG